Molecule: ribosomal RNA, 550 nt
Filed under: Legionella pneumophila
Lineage: Bacteria; Pseudomonadati; Pseudomonadota; Gammaproteobacteria; Legionellales; Legionellaceae
Description: partial 23S ribosomal RNA
Rfam family: Bacterial large subunit ribosomal RNA
Source: RNAcentral
UUAUAUGGUCAAGAAGAGAAGCGCAAACGGUGGAUGCCUUGGCAGUAAGAGGCGAAGAAGGACGUGGAAUCCUGCGAAAAGCUAUGGGGAGCUGGAAACGAGCGUUGAGCCAUAGAUGUCCGAAUGGGGGAACCCGGCUGCAGCGAUGCGGUCAUUUGCAUUUGAAUACAUAGGAUGCAAAGGCGAACUCGGGGAACUGAAACAUCUAAGUACCCGAAGGAAAAGAAAUCAAGAGAGAUUCUCCAAGUAGCGGCGAGCGAACGGGGAGGAGCCUGGCGUGAUUUAUUAUUGAACUGAGUAGAACAAUUUGGGAAAGUUGGCCGUAGAGGGUGAAAGCCCCGUAUACGAAGGUUUGAUGAGGAACUAGGCACGCGAACAAGUAGGCCGGGACACGUGAAAUCCUGGUUGAAGAUGGGUGGACCAUCAUCCAAGGCUAAAUACUACUUACUGACCGAUAGUGAACCAGUACCGUGAGGGAAAGGUGAAAAGAACCCCGGAGAGGGGAGUGAAAUAGAAUCUGAAACCGUUUGCGUACAAGCAGUGGGAGCAU